RNAcentral lists this ribosomal RNA (510 nucleotides) under uncultured bacterium. RNAcentral's name for it is "partial 16S ribosomal RNA". It matches the Rfam family "Bacterial small subunit ribosomal RNA", at positions 28 to 507 of the family's 1533-position model. The record is from RNAcentral.
GACGAACGCUGGCGGCGUGCUUAACACAUGCAAGUCGAACGAAGAGCGAUGGAAGCUUGCUUCUAUCAAUCUUAGUGGCGAACGGGUGAGUAACGCGUAAUCAACCUGCCCUUCAGAGGGGGACAACAGUUGGAAACGACUGCUAAUACCGCAUACGAUCUAAUCUCGGCAUCGAGGAUAGAUGAAAGGUGGCCUCUACAUGUAAGCUAUCACUGAAGGAGGGGAUUGCGUCUGAUUAGCUAGUUGGAGGGGUAACGGCCCACCAAGGCGAUGAUCAGUAGCCGGUCUGAGAGGAUGAACGGCCACAUUGGGACUGAGACACGGCCCAGACUCCUACGGGAGGCAGCAGUGGGGAAUCUUCCGCAAUGGACGAAAGUCUGACGGAGCAACGCCGCGUGAGCGAUGACGGCCUUCGGGUUGUAAAGCUCUGUUAAUCGGGACGUAAGGCCUUCUUGCGAAUAGUGAGAAGGAUUGACGGUACCGGAAGAGAAAGCCACGGCUAACUACGUG